CAGAUGAAGACACAUGUUUGGCUGCCAACACAGUUAUCAGUGUGUUUAAUCGGAAGAUUGUGCGUGCAUCCAAAAAGGUCAUGUUGAUGUUCCUAGUGGAGUAUCCCUGGCUGUUCUGAGCCUUGACCGUCACAGAGUGGACCUCCUCUCGCCACUCAAAGCGGUAGGAGGACACCAGGCCUAUCCGCUCCUCAGUCACAAUGCCCCCAGAGGCCUGGUGCUGUACUACAAGGCCCUCCACACAGCUAUGGACUGUACCUUGAAGAGAAGAGUGACGUUAGUCUGGUUCCUUGCUGGAUCCUCCUGAAACACUCGCCAGAAAUCAGGACCCUGGUCAGGAGCUGAGAGAACAGAACAUAGAUAUUACAGCUCUGUGCAUGUGCAUGCUAGCAUGCACGCUUGUGUGUGUGUUUAUGUACCUAUGUCCUGAGGCUUUCAUUUUCUAUCAGAUCUAAACAUCAGAGAAGCUCAUAUUAAAGUGCUGGCUGUAGCACUCAAUAACAGCGCUUAGACAGACACCACGCAAGGUCACUGUUAGAUCAGGGUCAGAAAGAGCUUAUACCACACAACAAACACUGGAUAAUGACGGGUUUGAAAUGACCCAUCCAUUGUGGUUGUGAGAGUUAAUGUGCUAUUCAUACACAGUAGGUCAGACUUGAUAGUUGUGGUGUGCUGGCGCAAUUAUAAGAGAACUUUCAAGACAGCAGCUUAAUUCCCCUCAAAAGUGUAUUGCUGAUGCGUUUUGUCAAAGCAACUUUGUCAAAACUGUUAUGUACAAUACAUGUGUUAACUUGCUGAAUAGAUUUUUUUUCUUUAAUGAGACUAAAUUGUAUAAAUGCAGUUUCAAUGACAUAGAUGAGACGGAGACAUACUGUACACACCUCUGCU
This is a non-coding RNA of Oncorhynchus mykiss (rainbow trout), 888 nucleotides long. The record is from RefSeq and is a predicted model, not a curated record. NCBI's taxonomy places the organism in Eukaryota, Metazoa, Chordata, Actinopteri, Salmoniformes, Salmonidae.